RNAcentral lists this ribosomal RNA (422 nucleotides) under uncultured bacterium. RNAcentral's name for it is "bacterial SSU rRNA". It matches the Rfam family "Bacterial small subunit ribosomal RNA", at positions 355 to 774 of the family's 1533-position model. The record is from RNAcentral.
UGAGGAAUAUUGGUCAAUGGGGGCAACCCUGAACCAGCCAAGUCGCGUGAAGGAUGAAGGUCUUAUGGAUUGUGAACUUCUUUUAUACAGGAAUAAAUUGGGGGACGUGUCCCCUUUUGCAUGUACUGUAUGAAUAAGGAUCGGCUAACUCCGUGCCAGCAGCCGCGGUAAUACGGAGGAUCCGAGCGUUAUCCGGAUUUAUUGGGUUUAAAGGGUGCGCAGGCGGGAUGUUAAGUCGGCGGUGAAAUUUUGCAGCUCAACUGUAAAAGUGCCUUCGAUACUGGCUUCCUUGAGUGUAGAUGAANUAGGCGGAAUUUGUGGUGUAGCGGUGAAAUGCUUAGAUAUCACGAGGAACUCCGAUUGCGCAGGCAGCUUACUAAACUACAACUGACGCUCAUGCACGAAGGCGUGGGGAUCAAACA